AUAAUCACCUGAGCUGAGAUCAAGAGUCAGACACUUAACCAACUGAGCCACUCAGGCACCCCUACAUCUAUUACAUUUUGAAGGAAUUAGGAUCAAAACUUUUUUUAAUAUUUUUUUAUUUAAAAUCAGUUCAUUCUCGCAUGCCAUUCAAAAUUGCUGAAAAUAUUUUUGCUGAAAAUAUUUAAGGGGAUUGCAUUUCCAAAAAAGCUGGAAGAGACUGCUAUUAAUUAAUUAAUUCAUCCCUGUUAUAGGAGGUUUGGGUUAGUUUCAAUUUCUCACUUUUAUAGGUUAUUAUGAAUGAUUCUGCAGUCAACAUACAAGUGCUAGUUUAUGAAACUAGUCUUGAAUGCCUUCAGUUUUAUCUCCUAAGCUCUAUAACAUGGAAAUGUUUGUUUUGCAUCUUGUGUCUCCCAUUGCAGAAAACUUGGCGAUGCAGGAAAUUGCCAUUUAGACAGAAAUACCAUGGCACUGACUGAGUGCUUGAUUAGUUCAGAUGGCUUGGAACCAUUUGGGUAACUCUCCUAGGAGGGACACUUAUUCCUUUAUCCCUCCACAUUGCUGUGACCUGUGCGGUUUACAUGCUGGAAAUCUGGACCAGAAAAAACAAUCGAAUUGAUCGCCAGCUGCAGCAGCCGAGGGCCGACAGGAGCACCUGGCACGGGACCAGCCCUCCAUACAAGCUUGCUGAAUGACGAGUGAACAGAUAAUUAUUCUGGACCACAUUAGUGGUCGAAUCCCAGAAUGUGUCUGGACACACAAAUAAAUACCACCUACCACUCAUGACUGACAGUACUUUGCCCUUCCGAAGUACAAGCUCAGGCAGAUCUGCAAGUCCUUUCAAGGUCAAGGCUUUCCUGAAAGGAAAGAUUAAAACUCAGAACAAACCAACCCACAUGUCUUCGUAAAUCAUUUCCCAACAAAUGCUCUGCCCACAGUUCCCUUUCCUGGGGCCAGCUAUUGUCUGAAGGCAUAACUCCUAACGGCAUAAAUUCUGCAAAGCUGAACACAGUGGCAUGCUUUAUAAAAUACCAGCCAGCGACAGAAAAAUAUCCUCAUCCUUACAAUCAUCUAUAAAUGCAGGGUUCCCACCCCCCACCCCCCCCCCCCCCCCCCCCCCGCAGCCCAGCCAGUAUUUUAGAAACCUGAGAAUAGAUGACUGUAAUUCAUUUUGUUUGAAUGACACUAAAUUUCUUCUGUGGCCACUUAAGUGUCUUUAAGCCCUAAGAUACUGGCAUUAAUCUUAAUAAAGGGAAGAACCUUGGAUCUCUAUCCUA
Lynx canadensis (Canada lynx) is the source of this 1274-nucleotide long non-coding RNA. RefSeq lists it as uncharacterized. Lineage: Eukaryota; Metazoa; Chordata; Mammalia; Carnivora; Felidae. The transcript is spliced from 2 exons. The record is from RefSeq and is a predicted model, not a curated record.